This 450-nucleotide ribosomal RNA is filed under the name uncultured bacterium. Its description in RNAcentral is "partial 16S ribosomal RNA". It matches the Rfam family "Bacterial small subunit ribosomal RNA", at positions 354 to 796 of the family's 1533-position model. The record is from RNAcentral.
GUGGGGAAUAUUGGACAAUGGGCGAAAGCCUGAUCCAGCCAUGCCGCGUGUGUGAAGAAGGUCUUCGGAUUGUAAAGCACUUUAAGUUGGGAGGAAGGGCAGUAAGUUAAUACCUUGCUGUUUUGACGUUACCGACAGAAUAAGCACCGGCUAACUUCGUGCCAGCAGCCGCGGUAAUACGAAGGGUGCAAGCGUUAAUCGGAAUUACUGGGCGUAAAGCGCGCGUAGGUGGUUCAGCAAGUUGGAGGUGAAAUCCCCGGGCUCAACCUGGGAACUGCUUUCAAAACUGCUGAGCUAGAGUACGGUAGAGGGUGGUGGAAUUUCCUGUGUAGCGGUGAGAUGCGUAGCUAUAGGAAGGAACACCAGUGGCGAAGGCGACCACCUGGACUGAUACUGACACUGAGGUGCGAAAGCGUGGGGAGCAAACAGGAUUAGAAACCCCAGUAGUCC